Molecule: long non-coding RNA, 786 nt
Filed under: Rhinopithecus bieti (black snub-nosed monkey)
Lineage: Eukaryota; Metazoa; Chordata; Mammalia; Primates; Cercopithecidae
Description: lncRNA (ENSRBIG00000045611.1)
Source: RNAcentral
CUUUUCUAAAGGUUCAGUUGAGAAGAGUGCAGCUCUGGUCCCAUAUGUGAAGGCAGAUCGAUGCUCCAAUUCUCACUCAUUCUCUCCAUCAACAAGUAGUUGAUUUUUUUCACUAUUAGGAAGCCAGCACACUUUAUUAAGGCGAACUUUGUUUUUUCAUUUUGUUCAGGACAGCACAGUUCAGUCUCAUAGACAUAAUGUAUACCCUUUCAGUCUAGAAGAUAUUUUCCUGCCUCCUUGUAAAACAAGAAAUGCAGAAUUAUUGGUCUACACUAGCCAUGAGUGUAUCUCUCUUAGACAUCUGGGACAGCAGCAUUUGAGCAAACUCCUUAAAUGUCUGUCUGGAGCAGAAGCCAGUCUUGAGAUAAAAGAGAUCGGAAGUGUAGCCAACACCGGUAACAACUGAUGAAGUAUCUAAAAGAAGCUAGAAGGGGGUCCAAAUAGAUUAGUCAUGAUUCUAUCCAUGAGCAGGAGGUAGAAUGGUGUUAUCCCCCAUAUCCUUGAUUAUUUAUUUAUUUAUUUAUUUUUGCACAGAGCAUUAUGAGGUCAUCUGCUGAUGGGAAAUAGAGUAGGAGAAGGAUUUGAGGGAAAUAAUAAAGGAGGAACAGUCAUUAAAGGGAAUGGAAGAAAAAACUGACCAGUGAUAGAGCAAAGAGUGACAGAGAGAGGUUAAAGGAUCAGUGUUAAGGAAGACUAUGGAUUUCUGUGGCUUCAACCUUUGUGGAUGGGUACUUUUCCCCAGCAGUGAUCAACAGGUCUGAUGGAGCUGAGAUAGUCAGUGUGCGA